CCAACAAGCAUGUUAUGCCCGUCAAGCAUUGCCGAAACACCGAAUGAAACAGCUGCCCCCACCGCUGGGUGCGAAGAGUUUAAGGAUUACCGAAAGAAACGUGCAUCGUCGACCGAAUCCAAGCCCCAACCAAGAAGGGUUUUAUAAGCUUCCGUCCCAUAUAGCUCCAGCAACACAACUUAAUGACAUGCCUUUGCAAUGGAACAUCCACAUCAUUUCACCCCCCCAAGCCUAGAGAUCGUCUCCAGCCUCAGCAUAAAGAUAGCCCACAUGCCACCAGUGCUUCGUCAAAA
This 293-nucleotide long non-coding RNA is filed under the name Ricinus communis (castor bean). Its description in RNAcentral is "long non-coding RNA (RCOM_LNC003797)". Lineage: Eukaryota; Viridiplantae; Streptophyta; Magnoliopsida; Malpighiales; Euphorbiaceae. The record is from RNAcentral.